GUCCCCAUAGCUUACAACAAAGCAUAACACUGAAGAUGUUAAGACGCUGCUAAAUGCAUCUGAGGACA
RNAcentral lists this transfer RNA (68 nucleotides) under Cariama cristata (Red-legged seriema). RNAcentral's name for it is "tRNA-Phe". The record is from RNAcentral. Lineage: Eukaryota; Metazoa; Chordata; Aves; Cariamiformes; Cariamidae.